GAUUAAGAACGUAGCGAAAUGCGAUAAGUAAUGUGAAUUGCAGAAUUCAGUGAAUCAUCGAAUCUUUGAACGCACAUUGCGCCCCUUGGUAUUCCGAGGGGCAUGCCUGUUCGAGCGUCAUUUCAACCCUCAAGCACAGCUUGGUCUUGGGCUUCGCCGCUAACCCGGCGGGUCUUAAAAUCAGUGGCGGUGCCGUCGGGCCCUGAGCGCAGUAAUCUCUCUCGCUAUAGGGUCCCGGCGGAUGCUGGCCAGUAACCCCCAAUUUUCUAUGGUUGACCUCGGAUCAGGUAGGGAUACCCGCUGAACUUAAGCAUAUCAAUAAGCGGAGGA
Molecule: unclassified non-coding RNA, 330 nt
Filed under: soil metagenome
Description: partial contains 5.8S ribosomal RNA, internal transcribed spacer 2, and large subunit ribosomal RNA
Rfam family: 5.8S ribosomal RNA (bases 1-120)
Source: RNAcentral